CUUGAUCAAUUAUAAGAGGUCAAGCCUGCCCAGUGACAUUGUUCAACGGCCGCGGUAUCCUAACCGUGCGAAGGUAGCGUAAUCACUUGCCCUUUAAAUAAGGACUAGUAUGAACGGCUUCACGAAGGCUAUACUGUCUCCUUAAUCUAAUCAAUUAAACUAAUCUCCCCGUGAAGAAGCGGGGAUUCGUCUAUAAGACGAGAAGACCCUAUGGAGCUUUAAACAUCUAAGACACUUGAUUAUAUCUACUAAACUUCAUGCAACCUAUCAUUUUGUCUUAAGUUUUAGGUUGGGGUGACCACGGAGAAAAAUUAAACCUCCACGUAGAAAGAAAAUUCUUUUCUAAGCAAAAAGCCACAUCUUAACGCAUCAAUAUAUUGACUUAAAUUGACCCAAUUUCUUGCUCAACGAAC
RNAcentral lists this ribosomal RNA (413 nucleotides) under Allobates femoralis group sp. ABGD cluster 9. RNAcentral describes it as "partial large subunit ribosomal RNA". It matches the Rfam family "Bacterial large subunit ribosomal RNA", at positions 1834 to 2457 of the family's 2925-position model. The record is from RNAcentral. Lineage: Eukaryota; Metazoa; Chordata; Amphibia; Anura; Aromobatidae.